This 204-nucleotide unclassified non-coding RNA is filed under the name Hevea brasiliensis (rubber tree). The record is from RNAcentral. Lineage: Eukaryota; Viridiplantae; Streptophyta; Magnoliopsida; Malpighiales; Euphorbiaceae.
GAGAAACCAAGCACAAAAUCGUAAUCUAGAUAAUCUUUUCAAGUUCAACCAUUACCUUCAGCCUCAAAUCAAACUUCACAUAGUUAGAGUUCAGUAAAAUUCUCAUUCAUCACCAAGAAACAAGAAAAUUUCAACAGCAUAUUUUAACAGUGAGUCUCACUUGACAAAUUUUUCUCGCAAAACCAAGUUAAGCCAAGUUAUGAA